GCCGUUCCUUGUCUAUGUUCCUUGGAACAGGACGUCAUAGAGGGUGAGAAUCCCGUGUGGCGAGGAGUGCGGUUCUUUGUAAAGUGCCUUCGAAGAGUCGAGUUGUUUGGGAAUGCAGCUCUAAGUGGGUGGUAAAUUCCAUCUAAAGCUAAAUAUUGGCGAGAGACCGAUAGCGAACAAGUACAGUGAUGGAAAGAUGAAAAGAACUUUGAAAAGAGAGUGAAAAAGUACGUGAAAUUGUUGAAAGGGAAGGGCAUUUGAUCAGACAUGGUGUUUUGUGCCCUCUGCUCCUUGUGGGUAGGGGAAUCUCGCAUUUCACUGGGCCAGCAUCAGUUUUGGUGGCAGGAUAAAUCCAUAGGAAUGUAGCUUGCCUCGGUAAGUAUUAUAGCCUGUGGGAAUACUGCCAGCUGGGACUGAGGACUGCGACGUAAGUCAAGGAUGCUGGCAUAAUGGUUAUAUGCCGCCCGUCUUGAAACACGGACCAAGGAGUCUAACGUCUAUGCGAGUGUUUGGGUGUAAAACCCAUACGCGUAAUGAAAGUGAACGUAGGUUGGGGCCUCGCAAGAGGUGCACAAUCGACCGAUCCUGAUGUCUU
This 595-nucleotide ribosomal RNA is filed under the name Saccharomyces cerevisiae (brewer's yeast). RNAcentral describes it as "partial large subunit ribosomal RNA". It matches the Rfam family "Eukaryotic large subunit ribosomal RNA", at positions 169 to 780 of the family's 3401-position model. Lineage: Eukaryota; Fungi; Ascomycota; Saccharomycetes; Saccharomycetales; Saccharomycetaceae. The record is from RNAcentral.